Molecule: ribosomal RNA, 254 nt
Filed under: uncultured bacterium
Lineage: Bacteria
Description: partial 16S ribosomal RNA
Rfam family: Bacterial small subunit ribosomal RNA
Source: RNAcentral
UACGAAGGGGGCUAGCGUUGUUCGGAAUUACUGGGCGUAAAGCGCGCGUAGGCGGUUUUGCCAGCCAGAGGUGAAAUGCCUGAGCUCAACUUAGGAAUUGCCUUUGGGACUGCGAGGCUUUGAGGACGGGAGAGGUGAGUGGAAUUCCCAGUGUAGAGGUGAAAUUCGUAGAUAUUGGGAAGAACACCGGUGGCGAAGGCGGCUCACUGGCCCGUUUCUGACGCUGCAGCGCGAAAGCGUGGGGAUCAAACAGG